This is a long non-coding RNA of Apteryx haastii (Great spotted kiwi), 1678 nucleotides long. The record is from Ensembl. NCBI's taxonomy places the organism in Eukaryota, Metazoa, Chordata, Aves, Apterygiformes, Apterygidae.
UUAUAUUUUGCACGGCGCUGCUUUUGGCACGGCCUUGCAUUUGGCACGGUGCGGCGUUUUGCACGGCGGUACGUUUUGCACGGUGCUGCAUUUGGCACGGCGCUGCGCUUUGCCCGGCCUUGCAUUUGGCACCGCACUGUGUUUUGCACGGCGGUACGUUUUGCACGGCGCUGCAUUUGGCACGGCCUUGCAUUUGGCACAGCGCGGUGUUUUGCACAGCGGUAUGUUUUGCACGGCGCCGCCUUUGGCACGGCGCUGUGCUUUGCAUGGCCUUGCGUUUGGCACCGCGUUGUGCUUUGUAUGGCGUUAUGUUUUGCACGGCGCCGCAUUUGGCAGGGUGCUCUGCUUUGCGCAGUGCCACGCUUUGCACGGCCUCGCGUUUGGCACGGCGCUGUGCUUUGCACGGUGUUCUGUUUUGCACGGCGCCGCAUUUCGGCCUUGCAUUUGGCACAGCGCUGUGUUUUGCACGGCGCUACGCUUUGCACGGCGCCGCAUUUGGCACCGCGUUGUGCUUUGCACGGCGCUGCAUUCGGCACGGCGCUGCAACCUGCGCAGUGCUGUGUUUUGCACGGUGCUACGUUUUGCACGGCGCGACGCUUUGCUCGGCCUUGCGUUCGGCACGGCGCUGCAUUUGGCACGGCGUUAUGUUUUGCACAGCGCUGCAUCCCGCACGGCGCGGCGCUUUGCACGGCGCUGUGUUUUGCACGGCGCUACGCUUUGCACGGCGCUGCAUCCUGCACGGCGCUGCAUCCCGCACGGCGCGGCGCUUUGCACGAGGAGCCGGCGCCACCCGUCCUCCCGCGGCAGCGCCGGGGCUCGAGCGGGUUUCGCGGAGGAGCCGGAGCCGGCCACAACCCCCCCCCCCCGCGGCCCCGAUUUGGGGGAAAGCGGCUCAAAACGGGGGGGGGGGCACACGCACACGUGUGUGUGCACGGGCAAACGCUGCCCUGCCCCGGGCUGCGAGCGCACACGCGUGUGCGGGGCCGGCGCACACGCAGGGGCCGGUCUGCGCGUGCGCACUGCGGGGUCGGGCGCCCGGGCACACGUGUGCACGCUCGGUGCAAGACCAUGUGCACGCGUGUGCCGUGCACGACCACAUACGCGUGAGCCGUGUGCGAGGCUGCUCUGCAGGCGUGCACGCGGGAGGGCACACGUGUGCGGUUACACGCGUGCAUAAGGGAGCUGCAUACGUGUGCAAUCACAUGCGCACAGGAGCGCAUACGUGUGCAAUUGCAUGUGCACAUGAAAGCACGUACGUGUGCAAUUAUGCACAUGCACGAGGGAGCCGUGCACAAGGGAACACACAUGUGUGCAAUUACAUGUGCACAUGCAAGCACACACAUGUGCAGUGUGCGAUUUUGCACAUGCACGAGGGAGCCGUGCACCAGGGAGCGCACACGCGUGCAAUUACCUGCUUGCACAGAGCGCACACGCGUGCAAUUACGUGUCCGUACGAGGGAGCGCACACGCGUGCAACGCCGUGCGUGCACGAGGGAGCACAUACGUGUGCGAUUACCUGUCUGCACGGCGGAGCGCACGCGUGUGCAACCCCGCGCGGGCACGAGGGAGCUGCGCACACGCGUGUGCACCGCCCCGGAGCCCUGCGGUCCAGGCACACGCGUGUGCGGUGCCGGCGAAGCUCCGAGAAGGCGCCGGCGCCGCCGUCCCUUCCCGCUGG